This 76-nucleotide transfer RNA is filed under the name Clostridiales bacterium. RNAcentral's name for it is "tRNA-Lys". It matches the Rfam family "tRNA". From Rfam's summary of the family: Transfer RNA (tRNA) molecules are approximately 80 nucleotides in length. Their secondary structure includes four short double-helical elements and three loops (D, anti-codon, and T loops). Lineage: Bacteria; Bacillati; Bacillota; Clostridia; Eubacteriales. The record is from RNAcentral. RNAcentral also lists the same sequence under 3 other names.
GACCCGUUAGCUCAGCCGGUAGAGCAUUUGACUUUUAAUCAAAGGGUCCGGAGUUCGAAUCUCCGACGGGUCACCA